This 467-nucleotide ribosomal RNA is filed under the name uncultured bacterium. RNAcentral's name for it is "partial 16S ribosomal RNA". It matches the Rfam family "Bacterial small subunit ribosomal RNA", at positions 28 to 507 of the family's 1533-position model. The record is from RNAcentral.
GACGAACGCUGGCGGCGUGCUUAACACAUGCAAGUCGAACGGAAAGGCCCUGCUUUUGUGGGGUGCUCGAGUGGCGAACGGGUGAGUAACACGUGAGUACCUGCCCUUGACUUUGGGAUAACUUCAGGAAACUGGGGCUAAUACCGGAUAGGAGCUCCUGCUGCAUGGUGGGGGUUGGAAAGUUUCGGCGGUUGGGGAUGGACUCGCGGCUUAUCAGCUUGUUGGUGGGGUAGUGGCUUACCAAGGCUUUGACGGGUAGCCGGCCUGAGAGGGUGACCGGCCACAUUGGGACUGAGAUACGGCCCAGACUCCUACGGGAGGCAGCAGUGGGGAAUAUUGCACAAUGGGCGGGAGCCUGAUGCAGCAACGCCGCGUGCGGGAUGACGGCCUUCGGGUUGUAAACCGCUUUCGCCUGUGACGAAGCGUGAGUGACGGUAAUGGGUAAAGAAGCACCGGCUAACUACGUG